AUCCAAAUGCGUCUGAGGGAGUAGACUGAAGCCUCGAGGAAAGCUCCUGCUGCCCUUCCUUCCUUCCUUCCAUCCAGUCUGGGAAGGGGCUCCGCGAUCCCUCUCUGUACUUCCCCCCAGAAGACUGCCUAAAUCCACAUACACCUCUUGAAAGGUCUCCUCUGAUCCCCCUCCUUCCCCUCGAUGCUCCUGGAGGCGGAUUUGGGAUUUGUGAGCGAUGCGAGUCCGGUGAGGCUGGAGUUUCCCUCCGGGACCCGAAGGAGGAUCGCUGGGCGGCGGUUCCUUGAGGGAGCGGGGCUGCAGGAUGAAUAAAAGAUACUUACAGAAAGCAACAAAAGGAAAACUGCUAAUAAUAAUAUUUGUUGUAACACUGUGGGGAAAAAUAGCAUCUGGGGCAAACCACCACAAAGCUCAUCAUGUUAAAACUGGAACUUGUGAAGUGGUGGCUCUCCAUCGGUGUUGCAAUAAGAACAAGAUAGAAGAAAGAUCACAGACAGUCAAGUGCUCCUGCUUUCCUGGGCAGGUAGCAGGUACCACUCGAGCAGCGCCUUCUUGUGUUGAUGCUUCAAUAGUGGAACAAAAAUGGUGGUGCCACAUGCAACCAUGUCUUGAAGGGGAGGAAUGCAAAGUUCUUCCAGAUCGCAAAGGAUGGAGUUGUUCUUCUGGGAAUAAAGUGAAAACAACAAGGGCAAACGUGUAAAAACCUUCAAGAACAAGGAGAUUUCUGCUGUGCCUGAUGACAAUUUUUGAUUAUUCCACACACACACAAUACUCUGGCUCCACGUUUGGAGCAAUAGUUGUGAUGAAUCAUAAUCUUGGUCGGGUUCUCAGGAAGGGCCAGAAGGUGCGUUGAGGAGUAAAGAGUGAAAACCACACCUGAAAGAUGUUCCAGCCUUGGUUUAUUACUCAAACAGCUGCAGGUAACUCGAUAGCAAAAGGCAAAUCAAAUCAAACUGAAGACUGAUAACAUUAAAUACAGCAAAGCAGGAAGUUUUAAUACCCAAGUAUAGUAAUUGAGGUUAGGUCUGAAACUACUGGGACAUGGUAAUUAUUUCAGUGAGAACUUGCAUGGUAAUGGGUAGUCACAUAGGAUCAAAAUUGCUGGAAAGUCAGAUUUGCGGACCUAUCUGUCAUAAAAAGUUCAAUGGACUGAACUGUGUACAUUUGUAAAAAUAGCAAACUUGAAGAAAUAGAUGAUUAUGGAAGUGCAGAGGUGAUGCUGAAAGGACACAAAAGAAACCAUAAUCUGUUGGAUUCUUGGAUUUCACCACUCUGUAAGAAGUUUAUGAAAUUUACUGAUCCAUUUCCUCUGCAACUUUUCUGGUCCCUCAUUUACAUUACAGGUGGGACUCUGCAGUGCUUUAAUCAAAUCACUGUUCCAGAAAUUGACCUCUGAUGCAGCACAAUUUUAGACACUUUUAAUUUGUAUUCUUAUCCUCAACCUCCAAGGCUACAUAUUUCAACACGUUGAAGUUCUUUUUCUUACAGGAAUGGAAAUAUAUAUCCAUUGUUAACCAUUAUUGUUGACAUGUAGUAGUUAUUCGCACACCACAUUCAUAUAUGAAUGUAUCAUUAGACAUGUUUCCUGACAGCUAUCCAGGUUCUCCAACUUCUUUCAGAUAAAUAAAAGGUGGUUAGAACUGAAUUUUCCUCUCCUCCAAUAUUUUAUGCUGUUAACCUAUCUGUUUUGUAUAAUUUCAAGAAGAUGGAUGUUCCUGUACACUCUAUGAUUUAUUAAUAUUAGGUCCAAAAAAGAUUGUGGAAAAUAAUAAAUGACAUUAGCUAGUCCCUUUAUGAAGGUAGACAGGGAUGCAUGUUAAUUUUUCAGUUCUGGGAUUUAAUAAUAUUCAUUCAGAUGUGUCUUUUAAGUUUGUUUUUAAAAAUGGCUAUCUCUUGCUUGGACAAUAUUACUAUCUAGAUGCUUAAGUUAGAUGUUUACUGAGCUCUGUUUCUUGAUAGAAAAAUAUUUUUCUUCAAAUCUGGAAUCAUUAAUGCUUUCUGUGACUUUUCAAAGUAUCUUAGAAUCAUUCUGUGGUUAUUUUGUUAAGCCUGAAAUUCUUCUUCGAUCUUCUGUUUCGGUAUCUUUUUAAAAAAUCUUGUUCAUUUGUUUCAUAGAAAAUCUUUAAUGUUUAAAUGCCUUAAGCAGCUGUAAACAUUUCCCCCCUAAGUUAUUACAGAAUGUAUAAUUUUAUAUGCCAUUUAAUAUAUGCUGUACUAUCUGAAAACAUGAGGACAAAGAGAGCUGACUGUUUCUUCUGCAUUUCACAAUCAUGCUAUAAAUUGUUUUGGGAGAAGACAAAGAGCAAAAUUUAUAUUCUUUUGUUUUGUGUGUUGAUAUGAAGACUAAUGGACUGAGUCCUAACAGAAAUAGUGGUGUCCAAAAUCUCAUAUUGUUUCUUCAAAUGCUUACUGGUAUUUCUGAAAAUAAAGUGAAUUCUUUCCAAUUGUCCUAAGUGACUGGCAUGACUAAUUAGUAAUAAAUCAGGUUCUAUGAUGGAUGAAUGCCCAGAGACACUCUGCCCUGUCACCUAAUGCAAGAUUGCUCCACAACAAUUUAAUUACCUCUCUUGUAUUAUGGCACUGGACAAUGGAAGCUAAUGAUUGUUAAAAAUGGAUUUGAGUUGCAUUGUCUCAUUCUGCUACAUACUAAUCCAAUUUUUGCAGGAAAGGUAUUUUUUACCCAUACAUUUUUGAUUAGGGAAAUUAGUUGUAGCAUCAAUCAGUUAUCUUGGUAUUUAAAAAAAUUAAUAUUGUAUAGAUUUUGAUUUUUAACAUAUCCAUAUUGGGGAAAUAUCUAAUUUGAAAAUCAUGAUGAAUUUCUUUGCUUGGUACAGGACACAAUAGAAAUGCAUAAUUUUGUAGCUGUUAUCAGUUUGUUCACAAUUUAGCCAAAAUUCUACAAUGUGCUUCUCGGCAUUUAUUUUCUUUAUGGUAUUCUUAAAACCAACACUGAAAAUAUUGUAUUAUAUACAAGUGUAAAACAUGCAUAUCAAUAGGUGAAAAUAAAUGGAUUUUCAAAUACA
Sceloporus undulatus (fence lizard) is the source of this 3023-nucleotide RNA transcript. It is a transcript of the gene named TAFA chemokine like family member 2, with no coding region annotated. The record is from RefSeq and is a predicted model, not a curated record. The transcript is spliced from 6 exons. NCBI's taxonomy places the organism in Eukaryota, Metazoa, Chordata, Lepidosauria, Squamata, Phrynosomatidae.